RNAcentral lists this ribosomal RNA (254 nucleotides) under uncultured bacterium. RNAcentral describes it as "partial 16S ribosomal RNA". It matches the Rfam family "Archaeal small subunit ribosomal RNA", at positions 474 to 727 of the family's 1478-position model. The record is from RNAcentral.
UACCGGCAGCACGAGUGAUGACCGCUAUUAUUGGGCCUAAAGCGUCCGUAGCUGGCCACGCAAGUUCGUCGGGAAAUCUGCGCGCUUAACGCGCAGGCGUCCGGUGGAAACUGUGUGGCUUGGGACCGGAAGACCAGAGGGGUACGUCCGGGGUAGGAGUGAAAUCCCGUAAUCCUGGACGGACCACCGGUGGCGAAAGCGCCUCUGGAAGACGGAUCCGACGGUGAGGGACGAAAGCUCGGGUCACGAACCGG